Molecule: long non-coding RNA, 475 nt
Organism: Perca fluviatilis (European perch)
Lineage: Eukaryota; Metazoa; Chordata; Actinopteri; Perciformes; Percidae
Exons: 2
Source: RefSeq, a predicted model, not a curated record
GCAGUGGGCAGGAACAAAAGAAGGGCAGAGGAAUGUGUGGUUGCAUUUUGGAGGGACUACCUGCUGGAUGUUGAGGAGCAAGAGGGACCCUUGCAACUUGGGGGUAUCCUGGCCUUUGCGACGGGAGCAAAUGAUAUUCCACCCCUGGGCUUCUCCCCACUACCUUCAGUGGUUUUUCUCCAUGAGCUGCCCCUCAGACAAGGCCGUCAUUUACCCACCGCAAACACAUGCAUUAACUGCCUGCGGUUGCCAGUCCUGAAAAAAUUCGAGGAUUUUAAGGAAACUAUGGAUUUUGCAUUAAAAAACACUCAGGGAUUUGUUCAGGAAUGACUUCCAAGAAGUCCUUAAUAUACAUUAUUAAAAUCUGUUGCCUGUUGAACUUGACUAAAUUGAAGAGGCAUCGUUGUCAAUAACUCACCAUUUCCUAAUACAUUAUUAAUGUCUUGUUUAAACAAUUAAAAAUGGAAUAAUCAUC